This 552-nucleotide ribosomal RNA is filed under the name Clinotarsus alticola (Assam Hills frog). RNAcentral's name for it is "partial 16S ribosomal RNA". It matches the Rfam family "Bacterial large subunit ribosomal RNA", at positions 1817 to 2597 of the family's 2925-position model. Lineage: Eukaryota; Metazoa; Chordata; Amphibia; Anura; Ranidae. The record is from RNAcentral.
CGCCUCUUGAAAAAAAUAUAAGAGGUCCAGCCUGCCCAGUGACUUAGUUCAACGGCCGCGGUACCCUAACCGUGCGAAGGUAGCAUAAUCACUUGUUCUUUAAAUAGGGACUUGUAUCAACGGCAUCACGAGGGUUAUACUGUCUCCUUUUCUAAUCAAUGAAACUGAUCUCCCCGUGAAGAAGCGGGGAUAAACUUAUAAGACGAGAAGACCCCAUGGAGCUUUAAACCAAUUAUAUACCUCUUCAACUUAAAUCAUGCUAGUCUCAGAAUAAUAUAUAAUAGUUUUAGAUUGGGGGGAUCACGGAGUAAAACUAAACCUCCUUGACAAACGGACCUUGCCCUUAUUUAAGAAGUACCCUUCUAAAAAUCAACAAAUUGAUGUUUAAUGACCCAAAUUUUUGAUCAACGAACCAAGUUACCCUGGGGAUAACAGCGCAAUCUACUUCAAGAGCUCAUAUCGACAAGUGGGUUUACGACCUCGAUGUUGGAUCAGGAUAUCCUAGUGGUGCAGCCGCUACUGACGGUUCGUUUGUUCAACGAUUAAAAUCCU